RNAcentral lists this transfer RNA (77 nucleotides) under Candidatus Sumerlaeota bacterium. RNAcentral's name for it is "tRNA-Val". It matches the Rfam family "tRNA". From Rfam's summary of the family: Transfer RNA (tRNA) molecules are approximately 80 nucleotides in length. Their secondary structure includes four short double-helical elements and three loops (D, anti-codon, and T loops). The record is from RNAcentral. RNAcentral also lists the same sequence under 1 other name. Lineage: Bacteria; Candidatus Sumerlaeota.
GGGUGAUUAGCUCAGCUGGCUAGAGUACUGCCUUGACAUGGCAGGGGUCACAGGUUCAAGUCCUGUAUCACCCACCA